AAGGAUCAUUAAUGAAAUAAACUUGAUAAGUUGCUGCUGGUUCUCUAGGGAAUAAUGUGCACACUUGUCAUCUUUGUAUCUUCACCUGUGCACCUUUUGUAGACCUGACUAUCUCUCUGAAUGCUUUAAAUAGCACUUAGGAUUGAGAAUUGACUUCUUGUCUUUUCUUACAUUUUCAGGUCUAUGUUUCUUCAUAUGCCCCAAUGUAUGUUUAUAGAAUGUAAUUAAUGGGCCUUUGUGCCUAUAAACCUUUACAACUUUCAGCAACGGAUCUCUUGGCUCUCGCAUCGAUGAAGAACGCAGCGAAAUGCGAUAAGUAAUGUGAAUUGCAGAAUUCAGUGAAUCAUCGAAUCUUUGAACGCACCUUGCGCUCCUUGGUAUUCCGAGGAGCAUGCCUGUUUGAGUGUCAUUAAUAUUAUCAACCUUUUUGGUUGGAUUUGGGUUUGCUGGCCUCUAUGAGGUCAGCUCCCCUUAAAUGCAUUAGCAGACAACAUUUUGCCAACUGUUCAUUGGUGUGAUAAUUAUCUACGCUAUUGACACAAAGCAAAGGUUCAGCUUCUAACUGUCCAUUGACUUGGACAAUUUUAUUAAUAUGACCUCAAAUCAGGUAGGACUACCCGCUGAACUUAAGCAUAUCAAUAAGCGGAGGAAAAGAAACUAACAAGGAUUCCCCUAGUAACUGCGAGUGAAGCGGGAAAAGCUCAAAUUUAAAA
Molecule: ribosomal RNA, 713 nt
Filed under: Calonarius intricatus
Lineage: Eukaryota; Fungi; Basidiomycota; Agaricomycetes; Agaricales; Cortinariaceae
Description: eukaryotic LSU rRNA
Rfam family: 5.8S ribosomal RNA (bases 256-409)
Source: RNAcentral